AAGUCGUAACAAGGUUUCCGUAGGUGAUAUCCUCCCGGUUUGCCUACCGAAGCCCCGGCGGCGCGGCUCGAAAGAACGCUGCUUCAGUUGGCCUCAUCUCGUGGGGCCGGCGACGCUAUCAAUCUGCGCUGGAAGCGUUCUACGGAGCGCAACCAGCAGCUCCACCGGAGUCCACAGAUCAAACGAUGGCGGCCAUUCGUAAUGGUUUAGAUAUGAUCGGCCCCAGCCGCCACCGGCUGGCGAAUCCCGCGGAACCUGCGGAAGGAUCAUUACUGAGAGAGGGCCUCGCGCCCCCGGGGGGUUUCGGCCCCCCAACUCUUCAACCCUGUGUGAACGUACCUUUGUUGCUUUGGCGGGCUGCGGCGCUGACUCCCACAUCGGGGUCGCCCGUGCCAGCGGCGCUAACCCGCAGAUGCUGGACCAUAAGCUCCCGUCAGAGGCCCAUCAAAACCCUUUGAAUUAGCGUCGUCCGAGUACAAAACAAUAGUAAAAAC
This 494-nucleotide unclassified non-coding RNA is filed under the name plant metagenome. RNAcentral's name for it is "partial contains small subunit ribosomal RNA and internal transcribed spacer 1". The record is from RNAcentral.